AGAAUGACGGGAAAAAAAAGCGAAAAAUGUUCGAAUGAAGAAGUUCCUCCAAUUAUAAAAUGCAAAUAAACGUAGAACCCAGCAGGAGGUAGGAGGGAGGAUAGUGGAACGAGGAAAACGAGGCGAAAAGGAUCCAUAAAAUUCAAAUAAAUGACGGACCGGGGGACGUGAGAAGAAGGGGGGAAGAAGACAAGAGGCGGUUGGUGGUGGUGUAUGCGCGCGCUGUCGGUAGUGCACCAUGGCCCCCCGCUACACCAAUUUCUCUGCGUCUCUCGCUUUCAUCGCUCAUCAAGGGGCCGCCCAUGCUAAAUGGUGUGUGAGAAGGCCCUGUGUGUGUGCGCAGGUGGCCGACAAUAAUAGCUGUAGAAGA
Non-coding RNA from Caenorhabditis elegans, 370 nucleotides. The record is from Ensembl. NCBI's taxonomy places the organism in Eukaryota, Metazoa, Nematoda, Chromadorea, Rhabditida, Rhabditidae.